CAGAGAAUGGAAUGGGAGCUCUCAAACUGGAUCUAGCUCUAGGCGGGGAUGGGGAGCUCCAGCUAGUCCCAUGGUGAUUGUCCUCGGCUUGACAGAUGGCAGGCUUGGCGUCAGUUGUGGCUGGGAGUGAAGAGAGGCCUCCUUCGGGAGAUUAGACUGCAGCUCUGCACAGCAGAUCCCGAUGAAGAGAGACAGUCCAUGGUUCUGAAUUGUCUAUUGUCCUGACAGAAGGCGAGCAGCUAGGAUGCAUGGAUAAAGCAUCUAACCCAAACUCUGGAGCCAACCUGAUGCUCUCCCACACUUCCGUGGUGCCUUCCUACCAAAACCUCGACCAGAACUGAGGGGACUCUGCAGAGAGACCAUGAAAAUGCACCAAGGAGAACACAGAAAAGUGUGCUCUGCUCGUGGGAUGCACGCUAGAUACAAAAUGGCAAGGUGUCGUCAUCUAUUCCUUAAUCAGAUUGUUUUUGCCAAGGGUUUUCCAGAACCUAGCAAAAAUUAUUCUUUGAGACUUAAAAGUCAACAUAUAAAAAUAAGAAUCAGAAUGAAGAAAGACAAUCUUUCAGAUAAUGAACUAUGAUAUAAAUAUGAUUAAAAAGGAAUGAGAAGAGACUAGCAGCUAUCCCAAUGGGAUGACACAUAGACACAGACUCUGACAGACAUGCACUUAUAUAAUAACAGACUUCACUUUCUUUCAAUCUGUGAAAACAGAUCUUUCAAUAAAUACACCAAAGUAUUGGUAAUGUGA
Long non-coding RNA from Mastomys coucha (southern multimammate mouse), 748 nucleotides. RefSeq lists it as uncharacterized. Lineage: Eukaryota; Metazoa; Chordata; Mammalia; Rodentia; Muridae. The record is from RefSeq and is a predicted model, not a curated record. The transcript has 2 exons.